Molecule: ribosomal RNA, 500 nt
Filed under: Vibrio agarivorans
Lineage: Bacteria; Pseudomonadati; Pseudomonadota; Gammaproteobacteria; Vibrionales; Vibrionaceae
Description: bacterial SSU rRNA
Rfam family: Bacterial small subunit ribosomal RNA
Source: RNAcentral
GCGGACGGGUGAGUAAUGCCUGGGAAUAUGCCUUGAUGUGGGGGAUAACCAUUGGAAACGAUGGCUAAUACCGCAUAAUCUCUACGGAGCAAAGAGGGGGACCUUCGGGCCUCUCGCGUCAAGAUUAGCCCAGGUGGGAUUAGCUAGUUGGUGAGGUAAAGGCUCACCAAGGCGACGAUCCCUAGCUGGUCUGAGAGGAUGAUCAGCCACACUGGAACUGAGACACGGUCCAGACUCCUACGGGAGGCAGCAGUGGGGAAUAUUGCACAAUGGGCGCAAGCCUGAUGCAGCCAUGCCGCGUGUGUGAAGAAGGCCUUCGGGUUGUAAAGCACUUUCAGUCGUGAGGAAGGUGGUGUAGUUAAUAGCUGCAUUAUUUGACGUUAGCGACAGAAGAAGCACCGGCUAACUCCGUGCCAGCAGCCGCGGUAAUACGGAGGGUGCGAGCGUUAAUCGGAAUUACUGGGCGUAAAGCGCAUGCAGGUGGUUAGUUAAGUCAGAUG